GACGAGCGGCGGACGGGUGAGUAAUGUCUGGGAAACUGCCUGAUGGAGGGGGAUAACUACUGGAAACGGUAGCUAAUACCGCAUAACGUCGCAAGACCAAAGAGGGGGACCUUCGGGCCUCUUGCCAUCAGAUGUGCCCAGAUGGGAUUAGCUAGUAGGUGGGGUAACGGCUCACCUAGGCGACGAUCCCUAGCUGGUCUGAGAGGAUGACCAGCCACACUGGAACUGAGACACGGUCCAGACUCCUACGGGAGGCAGCAGUGGGGAAUAUUGCACAAUGGGCGCAAGCCUGAUGCAGCCAUGCCGCGUGUAUGAAGAAGGCCUUCGGGUUGUAAAGUACUUUCAGCGGGGAGGAAGGUGUUGAGGUUAAUAACCUCAGCAAUUGACGUUACCCGCAGAAGAAGCACCGGCUAACUCCGUGCCAGCAGCCGCGGUAAUACGGAGGGUGCAAGCGUUAAUCGGAAUUACUGGGCGUAAAGCGCACGCAGGCGGUCUGUCAAGUCGGAUGUGAAAUCCCCGGGCUCAACCUGGGAACUGCAUUCGAAACUGGC
This 551-nucleotide ribosomal RNA is filed under the name Pantoea agglomerans. RNAcentral describes it as "bacterial SSU rRNA". It matches the Rfam family "Bacterial small subunit ribosomal RNA", at positions 90 to 637 of the family's 1533-position model. The record is from RNAcentral. Lineage: Bacteria; Pseudomonadati; Pseudomonadota; Gammaproteobacteria; Enterobacterales; Erwiniaceae.